CCUGGGCUGAGAUAGUUUGAAGGGAAUAUCGCUUUUUCCUGUAGAAAAGACCAUUCUCAGGACCAGAAGAGAUGAUAUUCCUUCUCUAGACAACCCUAGAAGAAUGAGAUAGAAGCUUCAUUUUAUAGGUCCAGGAAUUGGUUUUCUCUGCUCAUUAGCAAGAUAUCUGAGGAAAUUUGGAAGAGGCUUCUACAUUAUCUCCUCCUCUAUAGUACAACAGUACACCAGCAUGUCACUGGUAAGGACCCAAAUUCAGG
Molecule: long non-coding RNA, 257 nt
Organism: Passer domesticus (house sparrow)
Lineage: Eukaryota; Metazoa; Chordata; Aves; Passeriformes; Passeridae
Exons: 3
Source: RefSeq, a predicted model, not a curated record